ACGGCUAAACCGCGAAUGGCUCAUUAAAUCAGUCGGGGUUCCUUUGGCGACACGGCCCGAUCGCGGGCGUAGCGGAUAACUGUGGCAAAUCCAGAGCUAAUACGUGCACUCGAGCUCCCAUCCCCCGCGUUCGCGCGCGGGGGGCAGGGGCGCUUUUAUUAGUACAAGACCGGUGUCCGCUUCGCGGCGGACUCUCGUCUGGUGAACUCUGGAUAACUUUAUGCCCGACCGCUUCGUCUCUGUACGGCGGCAGGUCAUUCAUGUGUCUGCCCUAUCAAAUGUCGACGGUAGGUCAUACGCCAACCGUGUUGUCGACGGGUAACGGGGAAUCGGGGUUCGAUUCCGGAGAGGGAGCACGAGAAACGGCUACCACAUCCAAGGAAGGCAGCAGGCGCGCAACUUACCCAAUCCCAGCUCGGGGAGGUAGUGACGAGAAAUAACGAUGCGGGACUCGAGUCGGGCCCCGCGGUCGGAAUGAGCGCAGUACAAACGCCUGACGGCGACGACCCAUCGGAGGGCAAGCCUGGUGCCAGCAGCCGCGGUAAUUCCAGCUCCGAUAGCGUAUACUAAAGUUGCUGC
RNAcentral lists this ribosomal RNA (579 nucleotides) under Pseudovermis sp. 199440554. Its description in RNAcentral is "SSU rRNA". It matches the Rfam family "Eukaryotic small subunit ribosomal RNA", at positions 78 to 616 of the family's 1831-position model. RNAcentral also lists the same sequence under 2 other names. Lineage: Eukaryota; Metazoa; Mollusca; Gastropoda; Nudibranchia; Pseudovermidae. The record is from RNAcentral.